AUUGAACGCUGGCGGCAUGCCUUACACAUGCAAGUCGAACGGCAGCACGGGUGCUUGCACCUGGUGGCGAGUGGCGAACGGGUGAGUAAUACAUCGGAACAUGUCCUGUAUUGGGGGAUAGCCCGGCGAAAGCCGGAUUAAUACCGCAUACGAUCUACGGAUGAAAGCGGGGUACCUUCGGGCCUCGCGCUAUAGGGUUGGCCGAUGGCUGAUUAGCUAGUUGGUGGGGUAAAGGCCUACCAAGGCGACGAUCAGUAGCUGGUCUGAGAGGACGACCAGCCACACUGGGACUGAGACACGGCCCAGACUCCUACGGGAGGCAGCAGUGGGGAAUUUUGGACAAUGGGCGAAAGCCUGAUCCAGCAAUGCCGCGUGUGUGAAGAAGGCCUUCGGGUUGUAAAGCACUUUUGUCCGGAAAGAAAUCCUUGGCCCUAAUACGGUCGGGGGAUGACGGUACCGGAAGAAUAAGCACCGGCUAACUACGUG
RNAcentral lists this ribosomal RNA (486 nucleotides) under uncultured bacterium. RNAcentral describes it as "partial 16S ribosomal RNA". It matches the Rfam family "Bacterial small subunit ribosomal RNA", at positions 30 to 507 of the family's 1533-position model. The record is from RNAcentral.